GCGCCAGUAGCUCAGUUGGAUAGAGCAAUGGUCUUCUAAACCAUCGGUCGCGAGUUCGAACCUCGCCUGGCGCA
Molecule: transfer RNA, 74 nt
Filed under: Lacticaseibacillus nasuensis
Lineage: Bacteria; Bacillati; Bacillota; Bacilli; Lactobacillales; Lactobacillaceae
Also listed under: 1 other name
Description: tRNA-Arg
Rfam family: tRNA
About the family: Transfer RNA (tRNA) molecules are approximately 80 nucleotides in length. Their secondary structure includes four short double-helical elements and three loops (D, anti-codon, and T loops). Further hydrogen bonds mediate the characteristic L-shaped molecular structure. tRNAs have two regions of fundamental functional importance: the anti-codon, which is responsible for specific mRNA codon recognition, and the 3' end, to which the tRNAs corresponding amino acid is attached (by aminoacyl-tRNA synthetases). tRNAs cope with the degeneracy of the genetic code in two manners: having more than one tRNA (with a specific anti-codon) for a particular amino acid; and 'wobble' base-pairing, i.e. permitting non-standard base-pairing at the 3rd anti-codon position.
Source: RNAcentral